This 77-nucleotide transfer RNA is filed under the name Escherichia coli. RNAcentral's name for it is "tRNA-Arg". It matches the Rfam family "tRNA". From Rfam's summary of the family: Transfer RNA (tRNA) molecules are approximately 80 nucleotides in length. Their secondary structure includes four short double-helical elements and three loops (D, anti-codon, and T loops). Further hydrogen bonds mediate the characteristic L-shaped molecular structure. tRNAs have two regions of fundamental functional importance: the anti-codon, which is responsible for specific mRNA codon recognition, and the 3' end, to which the tRNAs corresponding amino acid is attached (by aminoacyl-tRNA synthetases). tRNAs cope with the degeneracy of the genetic code in two manners: having more than one tRNA (with a specific anti-codon) for a particular amino acid; and 'wobble' base-pairing, i.e. permitting non-standard base-pairing at the 3rd anti-codon position. The record is from RNAcentral. RNAcentral also lists the same sequence under 119 other names. Lineage: Bacteria; Pseudomonadati; Pseudomonadota; Gammaproteobacteria; Enterobacterales; Enterobacteriaceae.
GAUGGUGUAGCUCAGUAGGAUAGAGCAGCAGCCUUCUAAGCUGUCGGUCGGUGGUUCGAAUCCACCCACCAUCGCCA